RNAcentral lists this transfer RNA (71 nucleotides) under Marmota monax (woodchuck). Its description in RNAcentral is "tRNA.Ala". It matches the Rfam family "tRNA". From Rfam's summary of the family: Transfer RNA (tRNA) molecules are approximately 80 nucleotides in length. Their secondary structure includes four short double-helical elements and three loops (D, anti-codon, and T loops). The record is from RNAcentral. Lineage: Eukaryota; Metazoa; Chordata; Mammalia; Rodentia; Sciuridae.
UGGGAAUGUGGCUCAGUGGUAGAGCACUUGCCUAGCAUGCACGAGGCCCUGAGUUCAACCCCCAGUACUAA